UACGGGGGGAGCAAGCGUUGCUCGGAUUUACUGGGCGUAAAGGGCGCGUAGGCGGUCAGCACAAGUCAGUUGUGAAAUCUCCGGGCUUAACUCGGAAAGGUCAACUGAUACUGUGCGACUAGAGUGCGGAAGGGGCAACUGGAAUUCUCGGUGUAGCGGUGAAAUGCGUAGAUAUCGAGAGGAACACCUGCGGCGAAGGCGGGUUGCUGGGCCGACACUGACGCUGAUGCGCGAAAGCGUGGGGAGCAAACAGG
This 254-nucleotide ribosomal RNA is filed under the name uncultured bacterium. RNAcentral's name for it is "partial 16S ribosomal RNA". It matches the Rfam family "Bacterial small subunit ribosomal RNA", at positions 524 to 776 of the family's 1533-position model. The record is from RNAcentral.